AGUGAACGCUGGCGGUAGGCCUAACACAUGCAAGUCGAACGGCAGCACAGGAGAGCUUGCUCUCUGGGUGGCGAGUGGCGGACGGGUGAGGAAUACAUCGGAAUCUACUUUUUCGUGGGGGAUAACGUAGGGAAACUUACGCUAAUACCGCAUACGACCUACGGGUGAAAGCAGGGGAUCUUCGGACCUUGCGCGAUUGAAUGAGCCGAUGCCGGAUUAGCUAGUUGGCGGGGUAAAGGCCCACCAAGGCGACGAUCCGUAGCUGGUCUGAGAGGAUGAUCAGCCACACUGGAACUGAGACACGGUCCAGACUCCUACGGGAGGCAGCAGUGGGGAAUAUUGGACAAUGGGCGCGAGCCUGAUCCAGCCAUACCGCGUGGGUGAAGAAGGCCUUCGGGUUGUAAAGCCCUUUUGUUGGGAAAGAAAUCCAGCUGGUUAAUACCCGGUUGGGAUGACGGUACCCAAAGAAUAAGCACCGGCUAACUUCGUGCCAGCAGCCGCCGUAA
Molecule: ribosomal RNA, 506 nt
Filed under: uncultured bacterium
Lineage: Bacteria
Description: partial 16S ribosomal RNA
Rfam family: Bacterial small subunit ribosomal RNA
Source: RNAcentral